RNAcentral lists this ribosomal RNA (253 nucleotides) under uncultured bacterium. RNAcentral describes it as "partial 16S ribosomal RNA". It matches the Rfam family "Bacterial small subunit ribosomal RNA", at positions 524 to 776 of the family's 1533-position model. The record is from RNAcentral.
UACGUAGGGCGCAAGCGUUGUCCGGAAUUAUUGGGCGUAAAGAGCUCGUAGGCGGUCUGUCGCGUCUGCCGUGAAAACCCGAGGCUUAACCUCGGGCCUGCGGUGGAUACGGGCAGACUAGAGGUAGGUAGGGGAGAAUGGAAUUCCCGGUGUAGCGGUGAAAUGCGCAGAUAUCGGGAGGAGCACCGGUGGCGAAGGCGGUUCUCUGGGCCUUACCUGACGCUGAGGAGCGAAAGCGUGGGGAGCGAACAGG